Molecule: ribosomal RNA, 213 nt
Filed under: Enterobacter hormaechei
Lineage: Bacteria; Pseudomonadati; Pseudomonadota; Gammaproteobacteria; Enterobacterales; Enterobacteriaceae
Also listed under: 3 other names
Description: partial 23S ribosomal RNA
Rfam family: Bacterial large subunit ribosomal RNA
Source: RNAcentral
GGGUUGUCAUGCCAAUGGCACUGCCCGGUAGCUAAAUGCGGAAGAGAUAAGUGCUGAAAGCAUCUAAGCACGAAACUUGCCCCGAGAUGAGUUCUCCCUGAGACCUUGAGUCUCCUGAAGGAACGUUGAAGACGACGACGUUGAUAGGUCGGGUGUGUAAGCGCAGCGAUGCGUUGAGCUAACCGAUACUAAUGAACCGUGAGGCUUAACCUU